UUUGAUCUUGGGAAUGACUGCAUCUGGCAUGAUUCUUACCUUGAAUAUUUCUUUGUGAUCCCAAAGCCCACUCCCUACCUCCGCCCUUUGUAGUAGUCUCUUAUUUCUGCCACUUAGAGCAGAGAAAAUACCGUUACUGUGAGGAUUUCUGUUGAUGCCAAGAUGCUGCAAAGAGAAGAGCAAGUUCAAGGACUCUGCUGGACAAGUUGCCAAAUGCUACUUACUCUCACUGUGCAUCUCUGCUGCUCUUUUAACUCCUCUGUGCUUGGAGUUUCCAGUGAAAAGAGGGAAUAUAUUCCAUCCUUCAUACAAAAUGCAAACAUUCUGAUCACGUUAGAUGGUUCCCAAAUUAUGAAAACAUCUCUAAAAUUCUGAUACAUCAGUGAGGAUGGGACCAUGUUUAACAGACACACAGUUAUGUUUGUUGAGAGAAGCUAGUCUCAAAUUCUCAAUCCUCCAGCCUCGAACUUCCUGGUGCUGGGUUUACAGGCAUGCAAUGCCACACCACACUAACGGUGAAUGUAACUGAGCAAGAUGAGACUGAAUAGUGAUAAAGGAAUGGAAGGCCA
Molecule: long non-coding RNA, 569 nt
Organism: Mastomys coucha (southern multimammate mouse)
Lineage: Eukaryota; Metazoa; Chordata; Mammalia; Rodentia; Muridae
Exons: 3
Source: RefSeq, a predicted model, not a curated record